CACACGCGUCUCCUCUCCUCUCGCUCGGCUAGCUAGCUAGCUAGCUGACGAUACGAGACGCCCCAUCCCUCUUCCCCCUCACGCGCACGCUUUCUUCUCUCGACGACGGACGGCCGGAGGCCGGAGGGGCUAGCCGGCCGGCCGGCCGGUUCCUUCCCCGCCUGCCCCGGUAAGACAUGUCACAUAUCACCGCAUGUGUGCGUGCUUUGCUCGCCGUCUCUUGUCUCGGCUUGGUUUCUUCGUCGUGUGGUUUUGGUUUUGGUUUUUGGGGAAGGAUUUGGACGUUUUUGCCGAUGAUCUGUAGGUUUCCUGUUUCGGGUUUGAUUUGCCGAUCGCGUUGGCGUGUACUCCUUUGACGCCACGCGAUUUCUCCAGAUCUUUCAGUGGCUGGGUUCUGAACUUUUGAUGGUGGAUCUUUGUGGUCGGUACAUCGUUUUGCCGAUGAUCUUCGUGAGGCUUCGUCCACGUCCUCUCUACCGGUUCCUACCGGCCACCGGUGUUUUCCACUAACUUGUUCUGUUGUUCACAUGCUCCCGACGCCAUUCUUCAGUCCGGAUCUUUGCUGGGGCGUCAUACCGUAGCCUUGGAUGAAUGAUAUAUAGUCGACCAGGCAGGGGAGGUUUUCUCCCAUCUUUCUUUCUUUCGGUGAGUUUUGGUCGAGGAUCUCGCGUUCUCGCCUCCAUGGUGGGUGUAGAUGGGCUUCCUCCGCGUCCUGCUGAGGUUCUUCACAUCGGGUUUUACAUGUGGUUCUCUACCUCGUUUUACUAUAGUCUAGACGCCAUGCUUUUGUCCUGGAUCUUUGCUUUUGUCCUUGGAUGGAUCAUGAUGGCCAACCGGCCGGCCGGGCAGGGCCACGAUCAUGUUUAUAUAUAUCCUGUUUUUUUUUUUUGGCUUGCUCUUGAAUUCUUCUGUGGAGCCGUGUCACCGGCGCCUCUCCCCAUUUCUGUCCAUCUGCUUUUGCUUGGCCUACUCGUUUUCUACGUAUUUAGUGUCAAUUCAGGCCGUUGGUUUGGUUAAUUUGCGUCUCUCUCUCUCUCUCUCUGCUUCCUCGGUUUGUAUCGGUGACGCCAUGCUUUUGUCCUGCAUAUUUCCUUGGGCGUCGUAGCCUUGGAUGGAUAUACUAGUAGCAUCAUGUGUGUGUGGAUUUUUUUUUUAUCGGGAAAAGCUUGGAAACAACCGGCUGAUCCAGCAUCGUGCGUCCGUCGCCUCCAGCGCGUGAUGUGUGUGCCAUGCAUGCAUGACCUGCGCGGCCACUACAUCUUUAUUGUAAUUUUUUUGCAAAAAUACCUUUAUUGUAAAAGUUUCUUCCGCAACAACACUCAUAUUACAAAAAACCUGAAAACACAAAAAGAAAUUCUGCAACAAGUCGUUUGUUGCAAAAAUAAAAAUGCAACAAAUCAUAGUGCGACCAUGUUUAUAUCGUGUUUUAUUCUUUUGGCUUGAUCUUGCUUUCUUCUGUGGAUCCCUGUCUCCGGCGCCUCUCCCCAUUUCCAUCCAUCUUUCCCUUUGCUUGAUUGGCCUACUCAUAUGUUCCGAUCACCCUCUGUACUUGCAUCUCAUCAUCCCUUUCGUUUGGUUUGAAUCCGGAUGACGGUGCUUCUACAAUCUGAUCUAUAAAUAUAAUGGUGGUGUCGCUGUUUGUAUUUGUGUAGUUCGAAACCAGAUGAACGUGCUUCUCUGCCUAAUUCAUGGUUACAUCUUUUUUUGAAAAGGAGGAAACGAGUCCUCGGACUCUGCAUCAAUCGAUGCAUGCAGCCAUAAUUGAUGGUUACAUCUAGUUGUGUUUGCAUAUAUUCCGCAUCUGGACUUUCGAUUAAGAUGUAUUCCAUUGCUUUGUUCUGCAAGAGUUUUAACCUUGGUGGUGGAUAUGUGAUCUGUCCUUGGUGGAGAUGUAGAUUGCACCGACGGGGUAAUUAACGCUCUCCUCUGUUGAACUUGCAACCGAUUGGUUUUUUUGUUUUGUUUUUUUUCUUGCGGGGGGCUCGUAACCGAUGGUUGAUGGAUACUUCUUGCAGAUCUGUAGAUCUUGCUUUUUUAAGUGGAGUUAUGUGACCAGUUGCCCAUAGGAUGCAUUGGCGCCUCCCCCCAUUUUUGUCCAUCUGCUCUUAGUUGCUCUAUUUCUUCUGAACGCUUCGUGUACUUGGCAUUUCAUCACCCUUUUGGAUUGAAUCUGGCUUACUGUGAUUCUAUUUUCGAUUUAUACAUGGUGACGUCUCGUCACAUGCCUGGCUUGAAUCUGGGUGAAGCUUCUACGCUUGAUUUAUGGUGACAUAGCUAGUUGUAUUUGUGUAGUUCGAAACUUGCAUCCCUACAAAUACUAAAUCAAACUUAAACAAAAGGAAGUCACUAAGACCAAUUAUCAUGCAACCAGCCAUAUGAGAAAAGAAACACAAGUCAAGAAACCAUUUAGUCAGUGGGAAUCGAAAUGAAAGCCUAUGUAGUCAUUAAUUGGCUCUCUCUGGAGGCCCAAAUGCAACUCGCACGCAGUUGAAUGAAGUGAGACAAAUAGCAGCUUCUAGGUUAUAAGCAUGCAAGACUAUGAAGUUGUCCUAUCAGGACGUGUUUAGAUAUCUGCAAGAAGUUUUGUGGGUAAGAAAGUUUCCAGUAAGCAUCUAGUUAUGUUUGUGUAGAUAUGUGUUUUCGCAUCUGAACUUCUAAUUAGCACGUUUCUCUAAUGGUCUAAUCUAUGGUUAUGUUGCGCAGGAGUCUUGGUUUCUGUGGUGGUGAAUCUGUGACCUGCCCUUGGUGGAGAUCCAUAGAUUGCACCGGCAAGGUAAGCUGAGGGUUGAGUGGUGGUGGGCACUAUGUGGAUCCUCGGCAGCUGCUGCUGGUGCACUGCUUCAGCGGAAACCCUGGGAUCUGGUCUUACAGAUCGGACGAUGGUGAUACUCCGGUGUCGUUUUUCUCUUGGGAACAUCAUUUGUGGAGCAACGUUGGAUGACAGAGGCAGGAGGUGGAGUGGCUUCGUCUUGCAUGGAGCUGUCAAGUCAUGCCUAGUUGGCAAGUGCUACGCAUGACAGUUCUUCCAGAGUCUUGGUGUCUGUACGUAUGAGCGCAGGGCGAUGGGGCCGUUGGGCGCCGUGGUGGUGUCGACGUAUGUAUGAACUUGCAAGGAUGAUGCGGAUCUCUUUUCUGAAGAUGGGUCAGUGGUAUGAAGAUGAUGACGGCUCCUAAAACAUGUGCAUGUGGUAUGCACUUCAGGUCUGCUGCAUCGGUUGUUGGUCCCGGUACGUUAUGUGAGUGAAUUGGUGACGACACCGGUUUUAGAUAUGGGGAGUGAGAGCACUUCAUGUUAUCGAAUUUGUAGGUGUGAGUGGUGGCUUCGGGUGGGUUGAUGUAUGUUUUUAUCAGACCUUUUUAGAAUAAUUAAUAAAGAUGACCGCAUGCAUCGAUUGAUGCAGAAGCCG
Molecule: long non-coding RNA, 3407 nt
Filed under: Hordeum vulgare
Lineage: Eukaryota; Viridiplantae; Streptophyta; Magnoliopsida; Poales; Poaceae
Description: long non-coding RNA (HVUL_LNC014088)
Source: RNAcentral